GUGCCAGCAGCCGCGGUAAAACGUAGGUUCCGAGCGUUAUCCGGAUUUACUGGGCGUAAAGCGCGUUCAGGCGGUUUGGCAAGUCGGGCAUGAAAUCCUUCGGCUCAACCGGGGGAGGUUGUCCGAUACUGCUGAACUGGAGGGCAGUAGAGGGUGGUGGAAUUCCGGGUGUAGUGGUGAAAUGCGUAGAGAUCCGGAGGAACACCAGUGGCGAAAGCGGCCACCUGGACUGCACCUGACGCUGAAACGCGAAAGCUAGGGGAGCGAACGGGAUUAGAAACCCCAGUAGUCC
RNAcentral lists this ribosomal RNA (292 nucleotides) under uncultured bacterium. RNAcentral describes it as "partial 16S ribosomal RNA". It matches the Rfam family "Bacterial small subunit ribosomal RNA", at positions 505 to 796 of the family's 1533-position model. The record is from RNAcentral.